RNAcentral lists this transfer RNA (97 nucleotides) under Ceratobasidium sp. 428. RNAcentral describes it as "tRNA-His". It matches the Rfam family "tRNA". Rfam says of the family: Transfer RNA (tRNA) molecules are approximately 80 nucleotides in length. Their secondary structure includes four short double-helical elements and three loops (D, anti-codon, and T loops). Further hydrogen bonds mediate the characteristic L-shaped molecular structure. tRNAs have two regions of fundamental functional importance: the anti-codon, which is responsible for specific mRNA codon recognition, and the 3' end, to which the tRNAs corresponding amino acid is attached (by aminoacyl-tRNA synthetases). tRNAs cope with the degeneracy of the genetic code in two manners: having more than one tRNA (with a specific anti-codon) for a particular amino acid; and 'wobble' base-pairing, i.e. permitting non-standard base-pairing at the 3rd anti-codon position. Lineage: Eukaryota; Fungi; Basidiomycota; Agaricomycetes; Cantharellales; Ceratobasidiaceae. The record is from RNAcentral.
GUUCCUAUGGUCUAGUGGUUAUGACGCUUCGUUGUGGCCGCUCAAUGAUUACGUAAUAAGCGCCGAAGCAGCCUGUGUUCGAUUCACAGUAGGGACA